Long non-coding RNA from Equus asinus (donkey), 2118 nucleotides. NCBI's taxonomy places the organism in Eukaryota, Metazoa, Chordata, Mammalia, Perissodactyla, Equidae. The record is from Ensembl.
AUUUCUUUACUGUCGUUUACUACAUAUCUAAAAUUGUUUCCAAUAUUCCAUCGAAAUGUUUUUUCAACUGUGCAAAUUGCUGUCUUGGGUCACGAUGGAGGACGUUAUGAUUCGCCAUUAAAAACAAUGAAAAUAAUUUUGGUGUAAUGGCUUUUAACCUAACAGCAUGGUUUUCCAGAAGAAUUUAAGGCAUUAAGUGAAAGGUAGGAGGGUAAUGAAAACUCCCCCUGCCAGCAUCCUCAGAGCUUCUCGUUAUUCUCCUCAAGGACAAACCACAUCACGUUCCUUGUGUCACCUCCACAGACAGGCCAUCCACAGACGGGAAAAUACACAUGGAACCUCUCCAUCCCUUCCUGACACAGGUGAUAGCCUGCUACUCACUCGUUCCUCCACCUGGACUCAUUGUCUUCAAAAAACAUCUCAGAAAUCAUUCCAUGCCAGUACAUAAAGAGCGAGCUGACUUUCUAAUAGCUCCAUAGUGUUCCAUUUUGUGGCUGUAUUGCAAUCUAUACAAUCGACAGACGCUGUUUCUACUCUUUUGCUAGUAAACUCCACCGCUUGCCUUUGGGUUAUUUCACAGGUGUGAGAAUAUGCAGGUAAAUAGGAGGAGGGGCUGAGUCCAAGGCUUUUCACCCAGCGAGUGUUGUGCUUCAAGGAGGCUGGACCAGUUCUCCAGUUCCAGCAACAACGAGGGUGGGUGGUCCCCCUCACCGCCAGGUGCUCUUCUGCCUCCUCCCCCAAUUACAAAGACCCUCAUGAUUACACUGGGCCCACCUGGACGAUGCAGGCUACAUAUGCUCGCUCUCUUAAGGUCAGCUGAUUUUUAGCAGCCUUCAUUCCAUUCCAUCUGUCACCUCACCUCCCCUCUGUGGUGUAACCUGACAUCUUCAUCUGCUCCGGGCAGUAGGUCAUGGACCUCUUUUGAGGGCCAUUAUUCUGCCAACUGCAGCCUCCCAGAGGAGGUGACACUUGGGCUGAGACCAGACGUGCCACGCACAGAGCCAGGGAAGGAGAGUUCUGACAUCAGGAGCAAUGAGUGGAUGGCUGAGGAGCCCAGCUAGAGAUGAAGGACAGACUACCUCUAGAUUCGUCUCUGAUGUGACGGUGGAGACAGGAGUCAAGGUGGUCCCCAGCCUGCCGAGCAGGACGCAGGACGCAGACCGAGAUGCUCCAACCCCCUCUGGACUUACGAGCUACAUGACGUGGACGCUCCAUCUCUGUGCCUGUUCGCUUUCUUCUCGACGCUGCACAAUGACCUCUGACAAAUAUUCUGAGAAUAUACCGAGAAGAGUCUACACCCAACGCCUGGAGGAGUUUGACGAUCCGCCUCAAUUCUUUCUUUCUAGCAGGCUCCAAACCAAUUUAAUCACCAACUUUCUCUUUUUUCGAGAACUAUGACUAUGAAGAUUCCAAUUGCAGAAAGGGACAAGUACAUAGGAAGGAAUGGCAAAGUGACAGAGGCUGUGCUGAGAUGAAGACACUACGGAAACAUUGUGUCUUGCCUUCUACUCUUCAUUUCCCGGCCCUACAUGCCUCCCGCACAUCAAGUGCCCAAUGAGUACAUGUUGAAUAAAUGUUCAAAAAUGGCGGAGACAAAUAUUAAACCUUACUGAGAUGUGAACUUUGUGUCUUGCAUGCAAACAAGGCCCUGAGUGUUUGUGAACGAACUUCAGUGAAGCCACCGUACUUCCUUUUUGACCUACAAAAUGCCUUUGACCUUCCCCACAAGUGAGAGCAAAUGAUGAACGUGAAAGAUGAUAUUUUAAAAACUCUGUAUUCAAUUAUUCACACCAAAGGAUAUCCAUUAAAAUUAUGAACAUCUCUAAAUAUAUUUCAUGUAUCAUACAUAUAUAUACUUUAUAUGUAUAAUUACAUAUCGACAAAAGAUUUCUGGCUGCUCUAAGCAUGUAAGUAAAACAAAGAUAGAUUUUGCAACGUAACACCCAUAUAUGCAUAUAUACCAGCUGUUUGAAUUAUGAAUUUAUUUACAACUUGCUUAGGUUAGAAUAAGUGAUUACUGUUCUAUUGUACAAACAUAACAGGUUAGGGUUUCUUUAAAUACAAAGACUGCAAAUGAAUACAUGAAAAAAUUACACACAUGUACAAUAUUUAUAAUUU